AGCAGUGGGGAAUAUUNCACAAUGGGCGGAAGCUGAUGCAGCAACGCCGCGUGCGGGAUGACGGCCUUCGGGUUGUAAACCGCUUUCGCCUGUGACGAAGCGUGAGUGACGGUAAUGGGUAAAGAAGCACCGGCUAACUACGUGCCAGCAGCCGCGG
Molecule: ribosomal RNA, 157 nt
Filed under: uncultured eubacterium A10-B1
Lineage: Bacteria
Description: partial 16S ribosomal RNA
Rfam family: Bacterial small subunit ribosomal RNA
Source: RNAcentral